Molecule: ribosomal RNA, 253 nt
Filed under: uncultured bacterium
Lineage: Bacteria
Description: partial 16S ribosomal RNA
Rfam family: Bacterial small subunit ribosomal RNA
Source: RNAcentral
UACGUAGGGUGCGAGCGUUAAUCGGAAUCACUGGGCGUAAAGCGUGCGCAGGCGGUUUUGUAAGACAGGCGUGAAAUCCCCGGGCUUAACCUGGGAACUGCGGUUGUGACUGCAAGGCUAGAGUACGGCAGAGGGGGGUGGAAUUCCACGUGUAGCAGUGAAAUGCGUAGAGAUGUGGAGGAACACCAAUGGCGAAGGCAGCCCCCUGGGUCGAUACUGACGCUCAUGCACGAAAGCGUGGGUAGCAAACAGG